ACCUAUUUUCCCAAUCAAUAUCUUUCUUUUAUAUGCUUUUUAUAUAAUUUCAAACGAAAAUGCAUAUAAUCUCUAUUUAUAUCCUUGGAAAAUAUUAUUUAUUUUAAACUAAGUGUUCUUGUGGUCAUUUUCACCUAAUAUUCUGGAGGAACCCACCUGUGUAGCAGACCGCAAAUUUUGAAAUUCCAGAGAACCGCGUGACGUGAGUUGACGAUCGAUAUGGGGAAGAAGCUGUAUUUUAGCAAAAAGACGCCAUUGUUUAAUGAUUAUAUUGUAUACUUGUGAUACCUAUCAACAAAACCACUAAGUUUACUUCAUUCUCCUAACUUUGAGGUUGGAGGUUCGUACCUUCGAAAUUAAUAAAGAUUGAAUUGAAUUGAACUGAACUACAAGUGUAAAUGGAUAGGAUGACAUGUCAUUGAAUGUAAUAAUCUGUAUGGGCAUUAAAUUGCAAGCAUGACUAGAAAUAUUCCCCUGGAAGUAGAGGAGAUUGCAUUUUGUGCUGGUUUGAUUACGAAUCUGAAGACUAUAGUAACAGCACCAGCGCCUUGCAUCCCAAAACAAAAGCUUCUUUGUAGGUGUGCAUGGCAUGGUGGAAACAGACUUGGACGGACGAACGCUGGCUUGUUUCGAAAAAAGGAUUGCUGAUGUGAUUAUUCUUAUCAAUGCAGUUCAACAGAAGCACGCUCAACUCCAUACGCUUCAAGGAUUUGAAUUAGAUUAGAUGUUAUCAAUGAUUGUAGCUGAGCUAUCACACGCCCUCGUAGGUCUAAUGAUUAGCGGUUGAAACGAGUUGGAGAGAAUACUGUCCACGUAACACUGAAUAUCACUACACACUGCGUAAUGAAGGAGACCUAUAUUAAAGUCACCUGU
RNAcentral lists this long non-coding RNA (873 nucleotides) under Anneissia japonica. Its description in RNAcentral is "uncharacterized LOC117121230, transcript variant X2". The record is from RNAcentral. Lineage: Eukaryota; Metazoa; Echinodermata; Crinoidea; Comatulida; Comatulidae.